GACGAACGCUGGCGGCGUGCUUAACACAUGCAAGUCGCGCGAGAAAGUGGGGGCAACUCCAUGAGUACAGCGGCGCACGGGUGAGUAAUACGUAGGUAACCUACCCUUGAGACCGGGAUAACCUUCCGAAAGGAGGGCUAAUACUGGAUAAGACCACGGGGCCUAGGCUCUGUGGUUAAAGGUGGCCUCUGCUCGCAAGCUACCACUCGAAGAUGGGCCUGCGCACCAUUAGCAGUUGGCGAGGUAACGGCUCACCAAGCGAAGAUGGUUAGCUGAUCUGAGAGGAUGAUCAGCCACACUGGGACUGAGACACGGCCCAGACUCCUACGGGAGGCAGCAGUGGGGGAUAUUGCGCAAUGGGCGAAAGCCUGACGCAGCGACGCCGCGUGGGUGAUGAAGGCCUU
This 404-nucleotide ribosomal RNA is filed under the name uncultured bacterium. RNAcentral's name for it is "bacterial SSU rRNA". It matches the Rfam family "Bacterial small subunit ribosomal RNA", at positions 28 to 418 of the family's 1533-position model. The record is from RNAcentral.